Molecule: ribosomal RNA, 354 nt
Filed under: Triticum aestivum (bread wheat)
Lineage: Eukaryota; Viridiplantae; Streptophyta; Magnoliopsida; Poales; Poaceae
Description: partial small subunit ribosomal RNA
Source: RNAcentral
AUGGACUUUGAAUCCUAGAACUACACAAUCAUCACAAGCAGGUGCAAAGGGCCACAAUCGCCUCCUACGGAAUGUUGUGAUGCUUUCAAGGAAUUUGCAUGCCCAUUUGCCUCGUACAUCAACAACCAGAGCACUAACUGUGCAGACACAAUGUUAACCUACAUCAACGUCCAUGGCUCGUACCCGCCAGCCCUAUUCGCCGACGAGUGCCAAAAAGGAAAGGAAGGGGUUUCUUGCGAAGGCAUCCCGGAGAUAGGCACCGGCGUGCCGAGUGGUGGGCGACGAGCUCAAGGGAGUUCGCGACAUCCUUUGGCCGCUCUCUUGUGUGGAAUAGGAGCAUUGCUGUUCCAUUGA